CAGCAGCCGCGGUAAUACGGAGGGAGCUAGCGUUGUUCGGAAUUGCUGGGCGUAAAGCGCGCGUAGGCGGUUACUCAAGUCAGAGGUGAAAGCCCGGGGCUCAACCCCGGAACUGCCUUUGAAACUAGGUGACUAGAAUCUUGGAGAGGUCAGUGGAAUUCCGAGUGUAGAGGUGAAAUUCGUAGAUAUUCGGAAGAACACCAGUGGCGAAGGCGACUGACUGGACAAGUAUUGACGCUGAGGUGCGAAAGCGUGGGGAGCAAACAGGAUUAGAUACCCCCGUAGUCCCUGUCUCUUAUAC
This 301-nucleotide ribosomal RNA is filed under the name uncultured bacterium. RNAcentral's name for it is "partial 16S ribosomal RNA". It matches the Rfam family "Bacterial small subunit ribosomal RNA", at positions 509 to 807 of the family's 1533-position model. The record is from RNAcentral.